UGGGGUGUAGCUCAGUGGUUGAGCAGGUGUUUAGUAUAGACAAGAUCCUGGGUACAACCCCCAGUACCAUAG
This is a non-coding RNA of Ictidomys tridecemlineatus (thirteen-lined ground squirrel), 72 nucleotides long. The record is from Rfam. Lineage: Eukaryota; Metazoa; Chordata; Mammalia; Rodentia; Sciuridae.